RNAcentral lists this ribosomal RNA (1142 nucleotides) under uncultured bacterium. Its description in RNAcentral is "bacterial SSU rRNA". It matches the Rfam family "Bacterial small subunit ribosomal RNA", at positions 173 to 1306 of the family's 1533-position model. The record is from RNAcentral.
CAAUUUGAAUCGCAUGAUUCAAAUUUAAAAGAUGGCUUCGGCUAUCACUUUGGGAUGGACCUGCGGCGCAUUAGCUUGUUGGUAGGGUAACGGCCUACCAAGGCUGUGAUGCGUAGCCGAGUUGAGAGACUGAUCGGCCACAAUGGAACUGAGACACGGUCCAUACUCCUACGGGAGGCAGCAGUAGGGAAUCUUCCACAAUGGGCGCAAGCCUGAUGGAGCAACACCGCGUGAGUGAAGAAGGGUUUCGGCUCGUAAAGCUCUGUUGUUAGAGAAGAACGUGCGUGAGAGUAACUGUUCACGCAGUGACGGUAUCUAACCAGAAAGUCACGGCUAACUACGUGCCAGCAGCCGCGGUAAUACGUAGGUGGCAAGCGUUAUCCGGAUUUAUUGGGCGUAAAGCGAGCGCAGGCGGUUUGAUAAGUCUGAUGUGAAAGCCUUUGGCUUAACCAAAGAAGUGCAUCGGAAACUGUCAGACUUGAGUGCAGAAGAGGACAGUGGAACUCCAUGUGUAGCGGUGGAAUGCGUAGAUAUAUGGAAGAACACCAGUGGCGAAGGCGGCUGUCUGGUCUGCAACUGACGCUGAGGCUCGAAAGCAUGGGUAGCGAACAGGAUUAGAUACCCUGGUAGCCCAUGCCGUAAACGAUGAGUGCUAGGUGUUGGAGGGUUUCCGCCCUUCAGUGCCGCAGCUAACGCAUUAAGCACUCCGCCUGGGGAGUACGACCGCAAGGUUGAAACUCAAAGGAAUUGACGGGGGCCCGCACAAGCGGUGGAGCAUGUGGUUUAAUUCGAAGCUACGCGAAGAACCUUACCAGGUCUUGACAUCUUGCGCCAACCCUAGAGAUAGGGCGUUUCCUUCGGGAACGCAAUGACAGGUGGUGCAUGGUCGUCGUCAGCUCGUGUCGUGAGAUGUUGGGUUAAGUCCCGCAACGAGCGCAACCCUUGUUACUAGUUGCCAGCAUUCAGUUGGGCACUCUAGUGAGACUGCCGGUGACAAACCGGAGGAAGGUGGGGACGACGUCAGAUCAUCAUGCCCCUUAUGACCUGGGCUACACACGUGCUACAAUGGACGGUACAACGAGUCGCGAACUCGCGAGGGCAAGCUAAUCUCUUAAAACCGUUCUCAGUUCGGACUGCAGGCU